GCAGAUCUCACCCGUGGGUAAUGAGCCCAGAGAGAUCAGGGAUCAGGAGAGGUCUGCCACAGCAGCAAGGAGGCUUCCCCGGGGAGGCAGUGACAGUGACUGGCUGAGGCUUGAAGAGGAGCUACCUGCCAAAAUUUGGAAACUGCACAAAACACUCCUGAAGCCAUAGUUCACCUGGGACCAGCCAGGAAGAUUAGCCCUGAGCUAACAUCUGCCAAUCCUUCUCUUUUUGCUGAGGAAGACU
Molecule: long non-coding RNA, 244 nt
Organism: Equus quagga
Lineage: Eukaryota; Metazoa; Chordata; Mammalia; Perissodactyla; Equidae
Exons: 3
Source: RefSeq, a predicted model, not a curated record